UCCGCCAUAGCUCAGUUGGUAGAGCAGCUGAUUUGUAAUCAGCAGGUCGGGAGUUCAAAUGGCGUGGAGCAA
Molecule: transfer RNA, 72 nt
Filed under: archaeon
Lineage: Archaea
Description: tRNA-Thr
Rfam family: tRNA
About the family: Transfer RNA (tRNA) molecules are approximately 80 nucleotides in length. Their secondary structure includes four short double-helical elements and three loops (D, anti-codon, and T loops).
Source: RNAcentral